GUUCAUAACCCUUUGUUGUCCGACUCUGUUGCCUCCGGGGCGACCCUGCCUUCGGGCGGGGGCUCCGGGUGGACACUUCAAACUCUUGCGUAACUUUGCAGUCUGAGUAAACUUAAUCAAUAAAUUAAAACUUUUAACAACGGAUCUCUUGGUUCUGGCAUCGAUAAGAACGC
Molecule: unclassified non-coding RNA, 173 nt
Filed under: uncultured Cladosporium
Lineage: Eukaryota; Fungi; Ascomycota; Dothideomycetes; Cladosporiales; Cladosporiaceae
Description: sequence contains ITS1
Source: RNAcentral